CUUCGGAAUGAAUUUGAUUUAGUUUAGUGGCGGACGGGUGAGUAACGCGUGAGUAACCUGCCUUCAAGAGGGGGAUAACAUUCUGAAAAGAAUGCUAAUACCGCAUGACAUAUCGGAACCACAUGGUUCUGAUAUCAAAGAUUUUAUCGCUUGAAGAUGGACUCGCGUCCGAUUAGUUAGUUGGUGAGGUAACGGCUCACCAAGACCGCGAUCGGUAGCCGGACUGAGAGGUUGAACGGCCACAUUGGGACUGAGACACGGCCCAGACUCCUACGGGAGGCAGCAGUGGGGGAUAUUGCGCAAUGGGGGCAACCCUGACGCAGCAACGCCGCGUGAAGGAUGAAGGUUUUCGGAUUGUAAACUUCUUUUAUUAAGGACGAAAAAUGACGGUACUUAAUGAAUAAGCUCCGGCUAACUACGUGCCAGCAGCCGCGGUAAUACGUAGGGAGCAAGCGUUGUCCGGAUUUACUGGGUGUAAAGGGUGCGUAGGCGGCUUUGCAAGUCAGAUGUGAAAUCUAUGGGCUCAACCCAUAAACUGCAUUUGAAACUGUAGAGCUUGAGUGAAGUAGAGGCGGGCGGAAUUCCCCGUGUAGCGGUGAAAUGCGUAGAGAUGGGGAGGAGCACCAGUGGCGAAGGCGGCCUGCUGGGCUUUAACUGACGCUGAGGCACGAAAGCGUGGGUAGCAAACAGGAUUAGAUACCCUGGUAGUCCACGC
RNAcentral lists this ribosomal RNA (715 nucleotides) under uncultured bacterium. Its description in RNAcentral is "bacterial SSU rRNA". It matches the Rfam family "Bacterial small subunit ribosomal RNA", at positions 64 to 800 of the family's 1533-position model. The record is from RNAcentral.